CACGCUGUAAACGAUGAGUGCUAGAUGUUGGGGGUCACACCUCGGUAUCGCCGUUAACACAUUAAGCACUCCGCCUGGGGAGUACGUGCGCAAGCAUGAAACUCAAAGGAAUUGACGGGGACCCGCACAAGCAGCGGAGCAUGUGGUUUAAUUCGAAGCAACGCGAAGAACCUUACCAGGUCUUGACAUCACCUAGCAAGCCAUGGAAACAUGGCCCUCCUUCGGGACUGGGUGACAGGUGG
This 242-nucleotide ribosomal RNA is filed under the name uncultured Eubacteriales bacterium. Its description in RNAcentral is "uncultured Clostridiales bacterium partial 16S ribosomal RNA". It matches the Rfam family "Bacterial small subunit ribosomal RNA", at positions 796 to 1041 of the family's 1533-position model. Lineage: Bacteria; Bacillati; Bacillota; Clostridia; Eubacteriales. The record is from RNAcentral.